AAAAGCUGCUUCGUUUAAUCACCAUGACUCUUGGGAUCUCGCAACCUCCGACUAACACCUUUGUAACGUAAUCAAUUUAAGGCUAGCAGCUGCAUUUAUCCAGGUAUUAACUUUCUUACCACUCCUCCCACUCUUUCGCAUAAACUCGGCCUCAUCAUCCACCGCGGAACCCAAAGGCUCUGGCUAUAUAUGUGUUCCUCCCCUGCGUUACACAGCCUCUCACUGCAACGAAAUCCCAAAGGUCAAUCACUAUUAAGUAGCGACUCCACCAGUGGCGAAUUGCUCCUCUUGGAUGAGAAGUCAAUGCUUAUCCAACCAUCUCCACACUUUCCGAGACCAUCUGAGUGAGGGUUCUGUUUACUCUCUAAAUAGCUUCGACUUCACCCGGAGCAAUAACUAUUUUCGUCUGUCUGAUGCCCAUGUCUCUAUUCGCUUCAAUGAUGGUGGAUUGAUUUCGAUUGUAAAAUCU
This is a long non-coding RNA of Brassica oleracea var. oleracea, 469 nucleotides long. RefSeq lists it as uncharacterized. The record is from RefSeq and is a predicted model, not a curated record. NCBI's taxonomy places the organism in Eukaryota, Viridiplantae, Streptophyta, Magnoliopsida, Brassicales, Brassicaceae. The transcript is spliced from 3 exons.